AGAUGUUAAAAGCAAGAGACAUGGGAGAGCAUCAUUCCUUUGAGAUUUUAUAACUCAAACCAACUUUGGAGUUGUCUGAUUUGGAGAGUCAUUAUUCUUGGUCUUCGCUCUUAAAGGCCACUGAUGAAGAACAGGCGGUGACUAGGAUGAAUCCUGGUCAGAGAGUAGAAUCUUCUUUCCCCUAAACAGCGGUGGUUUUAAAGAAGGACGCUGCCCUGGAUGAUGUAGAAGAUGUCACAUGCUGUGCUGAUGGGGUUUCUUCAUGAUUACAUCAGUUAUGCUAAAGAGAUCAUGAAAAUUGACCGUGAUGCAUGAUCUGUAUUCAUGGACUAUGAAACAAACUGUAAGUGUAUAAUUUGUAAAAAAAAAAAAAAAAGUUAAAUGCUUUUUCUGUGUUGUUUAGUAGAAGAGUUUACACUCUAUCAUUCAUACACCUGCUCACAUUCUUUCACACACACACACAUGCGUCUGUUAAAUGUUAUAAUAUCAAAGUUAAUGUUGUGAUUUAUUUGUGUACUGUCAUGCCAGAAUAGUUGG
This is a long non-coding RNA of Carassius gibelio (silver crucian carp), 537 nucleotides long. RefSeq lists it as uncharacterized. The transcript has 3 exons. The record is from RefSeq and is a predicted model, not a curated record. Lineage: Eukaryota; Metazoa; Chordata; Actinopteri; Cypriniformes; Cyprinidae.